RNAcentral lists this ribosomal RNA (1372 nucleotides) under uncultured bacterium. RNAcentral describes it as "bacterial SSU rRNA". It matches the Rfam family "Bacterial small subunit ribosomal RNA", at positions 28 to 1381 of the family's 1533-position model. The record is from RNAcentral.
GAUGAACGCUGGCGGCGUGCCUAAUACAUGCAAGUCGAGCGAACGGACGAGAAGCUUGCUUCUCUGAUGUUAGCGGCGGACGGGUGAGUAACACGUGGAUAACCUACCUAUAAGACUGGGAUAACUUCGGGAAACCGGAGCUAAUACCGGAUAAUAUUUUGAACCGCAUGGUUCAAAAGUGAAAGACGGUCUUGCUGUCACUUAUAGAUGGAUCCGCGCUGCAUUAGCUAGUUGGUAAGGUAACGGCUUACCAAGGCAACGAUGCAUAGCCGACCUGAGAGGGUGAUCGGCCACACUGGAACUGAGACACGGUCCAGACUCCUACGGGAGGCAGCAGUAGGGAAUCUUCCGCAAUGGGCGAAAGCCUGACGGAGCAACGCCGCGUGAGUGAUGAAGGUCUUCGGAUCGUAAAACUCUGUUAUUAGGGAAGAACAUAUGUGUAAGUAACUGUGCACAUCUUGACGGUACCUAAUCAGAAAGCCACGGCUAACUACGUGCCAGCAGCCGCGGUAAUACGUAGGUGGCAAGCGUUAUCCGGAAUUAUUGGGCGUAAAGCGCGCGUAGGCGGUUUUUUAAGUCUGAUGUGAAAGCCCACGGCUCAACCGUGGAGGGUCAUUGGAAACUGGAAAACUUGAGUGCAGAAGAGGAAAGUGGAAUUCCAUGUGUAGCGGUGAAAUGCGCAGAGAUAUGGAGGAACACCAGUGGCGAAGGCGACUUUCUGGUCUGUAACUGACGCUGAUGUGCGAAAGCGUGGGGAUCAAACAGGAUUAGAUACCCUGGUAGUCCACGCCGUAAACGAUGAGUGCUAAGUGUUAGGGGGUUUCCGCCCCUUAGUGCUGCAGCUAACGCAUUAAGCACUCCGCCUGGGGAGUACGACCGCAAGGUUGAAACUCAAAGGAAUUGACGGGGACCCGCACAAGCGGUGGAGCAUGUGGUUUAAUUCGAAGCAACGCGAAGAACCUUACCAAAUCUUGACAUCCUUUGACAACUCUAGAGAUAGAGCCUUCCCCUUCGGGGGACAAAGUGACAGGUGGUGCAUGGUUGUCGUCAGCUCGUGUCGUGAGAUGUUGGGUUAAGUCCCGCAACGAGCGCAACCCUUAAGCUUAGUUGCCAUCAUUAAGUUGGGCACUCUAAGUUGACUGCCGGUGACAAACCGGAGGAAGGUGGGGAUGACGUCAAAUCAUCAUGCCCCUUAUGAUUUGGGCUACACACGUGCUACAAUGGACAAUACAAAGGGCAGCGAAACCGCGAGGUCAAGCAAAUCCCAUAAAGUUGUUCUCAGUUCGGAUUGUAGUCUGCAACUCGACUACAUGAAGCUGGAAUUGCUAGUAAUCGUAGAUCAGCAUGCUACGGUGAAUACGUUCUCGGGUCU